GAUGUCUGCUUGUCUUGAAGAAUUUAAACUUUGCCUCCGAUUGGAUGACGACAUAACUACACACAAUUUAAAUAAAUUUAGGUUUUACAUUAUUUACAUAAAUUUCUAAUCAUAUAUUUACUUUAAUAUUUAAUAUAUUUAAUUUAGUUAUUGACUUAACUAAAUUAAAAUAAAAAGUUAUUAUACUAACAUUACUAUGAAUCAUUCGUACAUAUAAUUUUUAAAUCAAAACUAAAAACUAUCAUUUCUUCACGUGUAUUUUGAAAUUUUAUUGACAAUAUAAUAUUUUAAAUUUCUUUAAAAAAUUGAUCUUUAAUGGUCAGAUUAUAAAGUCAGAUUUUAAUUGCUUUUAUUUUGAACAACAGUUUUAAUUGAUUUUAAUAUAAUAGUUACUAUGUUAUUACAACUAUGUUGAGGGCAAUUGUAAAACAAAUUUCCAAAAAGAAAAUAAAUGGCCUAACGUUUAAGACAAUCAUUUUUAUUAGUUCUUUUUAUUAAUAUGUACAAAUCAGAUUUUGUUAAUUGAAUCUCGUUAAUUCAUUAUUUUGAAAUGCUUAGAUUCUAUACGUAACACAACGAUAAAUAAAUUUAUAACAAAUUUUAAACAAGAAUCACCAUAAAAUAUAAAAUCUAAUGUUAUUAUAUGGUUGAGUAUAUUACACUAGCAAUGUAGUAAUGAAUAAACCUUAAUAGUCUUUUAUCAUAUAAUUAUAAUUAACUUACUUAAUUAUUUCUAUUUUAAAUUAUAAAUAUUACUAUAAAACUUUGCUACCAAUAAAUAUGCAACUAAUGUUCUUUUCUAUAAAUAUAACUAAUUACAAGUGCACAUAAAUAAUAUAAUAUGAAUAUAUACCUCAUAAACUUUGGAGGAUAAACCUUAUGAUCUUUGAUCUUUGGAGAAGAGACUUUACGCAAUAAGCUUUGCGGUGAUAGAACUCUAGCGAUAGAAGUAAAGUCUAUUUUUUGUAUGAUAUGCAAAUGUUACAUGUAUUAGAGCAGUGUAUUUAUAGAAAACAAAUAUUAUUUUUUUGUUAUAUCUUGAAUCUUGAAUCGUGUGAAUAAACCCAUGCUAUACUCCACUCAACCCACUCCCUUUAUCUGAUAAUGAUGGUUCCUCCAUCUAUUUGGCUAAAAGACAAAAUAAUAUUGGACCACUUGUGUUUCACCCAUCAUUUUUAUCUUUGCAAGUUUUGUUUGUGAAUGGAUAAAAAAAGCGGGCGGCCCCCACCUGCGUAUCUCCCACUGUUUUUUACGCUCCCCAUUCUCAGCCUAAAACAAUGAAGAUGAAAGAUAAAUCUAUAACUAUAAAGUUGAAGUAUCUGCCUUUUUAGGUUGUCCACAUCACUCUGGAAAGGGCGGCUUUGUUGUCACGUCAUCAGUUUCUCCUGGAAAAAAAAACCAGACUUUGUUCUCUUCCUUUCUAAACAAAACGCAGAACUUCGCUGUCUUAUUAAAUCGCACUAUGCGGGACUAUUGGGUUUAGUUAUUAUUUUAGAAAAGCCCAUAUAGCUUUUGUGACAUUCUUCCUCAGGAUUGCUUAUCGUGACCCAGAGGGAUGAUUGAAGAUUCCCUUCUUCGGCUUUCAACGGCGACGGCGAGUAACGCUUUCUUUAGACACCUGGCAACUCCUCCUGAAUCUUCAGCUCACUUGAGAUCAAUACCAAAAUGUAUUCACAUGCCUUUCCAAUGUCCUCUACCUGAUAUAAAAACGUAUUCAUAUGCCCUCUAAGAUCCGAAUCAUGCCUCAAUUCUAUGACGAUUCUGUAGAUCAUCUCCCUCAGAUUCAGUCGACGAUCUCUGGAAAUAGGUGCUUGGAGCUUUCGGCUCUUAUGGAUUGAAACUAACCGUUCGAUUUGUAGCAAUGGUUCUCGGUUUGGUUUCGGAGAGCUUUGGAGGAGAUUCCGAGACAUCAAUCAAAGUCAAUCAAAGCUUUUCACCAUACAAUAUACUUACAUGAUUUACUUCAACAAGGACGCUUGGAAGUUUCACAUGUCAGAUUCUGUAAAGUCGAAUCAAGUAAGUAAAAAUGGAAACUGUUAUAUCUCUUAUACGUUUGUCUUUGCUAUCGUAUCGUUUGACUACUGUCUUAAACCGCCAUGGAGCACCUCCUAUCAUCGAACACUCCCUACCUCAUCUUAAAUCUGUUGCAGCCCCUUUUUUGGAUUGUGUUUGUGGCGUUUUGAGAAGAAAUAGAAGAAAACCAUGGCAGGAGCUGAUUGUGCUCGAUAUCAAAGGCCGUGUUCGCGUCCGGCGUGACUACCACGGCGAUGUGUCCGUCGCGCAAGCCGAGCGCUUCUUCUCCAAGCUCUCAGGGCCUGGAAAUAUCUUAAGGCAGCAACAUGUUGCAAGUCUCUGGUUGUUGUCUACAAUGGUAUGUGCCUUAUGCAAAUCGGGAUGGUUGCUAGAUAAGCUGAUCAAAGGAUCGAUGUAAGAAGGCGUAAUGAAAUCUAAAGCAUGUUAUUUGGCCAGUAUUUCUCUUUAUAUCAUGGGAGAUCAGAGCUACCUUUUCUACAUGCAAAUACACAGGUUGUGAUUUUGCAGCCGCUUGGUGAUAAGGGAAUCACACGUAUUGGUUGAAACAUGAUUAGAUGCUUCACGUCUUCAGACCAGGCUUACGUAGGCUUACAUUCCUUCAAUUGAAAGAAGCUGGUUGCGGGGAGGUGUUGUAUUGGUUCAGCUUAUAUUUCCCAAGAAACAGAUUGCAGUGAGUACCCAGCCCCGUAAAGCAGAGAAAAUUCAUCACAUGCGUCGUCGCGUCGAUCAGUUCAAAGAACUUAUGAAAGCGUGAUCAUGUGGUUUAAACACAGAGUGGAAAUGUAAAAAUUGCUCAAGAAAUCAUGAACUAAACACUUAUAUAUCAGCGCCGAGUUCUUUUUUCAAUAUAAACCAGUCAUCUUCUUCA
Long non-coding RNA from Brassica napus (rape), 2902 nucleotides. RefSeq lists it as uncharacterized. Lineage: Eukaryota; Viridiplantae; Streptophyta; Magnoliopsida; Brassicales; Brassicaceae. The record is from RefSeq and is a predicted model, not a curated record. The transcript is spliced from 5 exons.